UGUCCUCCAUCGGAGGUCUAUAUUGAGCAGAUUCUUUUUGGUAUUGGGUGGUGGAACCGGAGCGUGCUCCAUCCACUCCAUGCAUUGACCUGGUAUUACAGUGCUUCCAGGACUGGUGC
This 119-nucleotide small nuclear RNA is filed under the name Crocodylus porosus (Australian saltwater crocodile). RNAcentral describes it as "U2 spliceosomal RNA (ENSCPRG00005011437.1)". It matches the Rfam family "U2 spliceosomal RNA", at positions 67 to 185 of the family's 192-position model. From Rfam's summary of the family: U2 is a small nuclear RNA (snRNA) component of the spliceosome (involved in pre-mRNA splicing). Complementary binding between U2 snRNA (in an area lying towards the 5' end but 3' to hairpin I) and the branchpoint sequence (BPS) of the intron results the bulging out of an unpaired adenosine, on the BPS, which initiates a nucleophilic attack at the intronic 5' splice site, thus starting the first of two transesterification reactions that mediate splicing. Lineage: Eukaryota; Metazoa; Chordata; Crocodylia; Crocodylidae. The record is from RNAcentral.